This 553-nucleotide long non-coding RNA is filed under the name Dermacentor andersoni. RNAcentral's name for it is "uncharacterized LOC126537580". The record is from RNAcentral. Lineage: Eukaryota; Metazoa; Arthropoda; Arachnida; Ixodida; Ixodidae.
UUCAUUAUACGUAAAGGCAUCCCAUUGCAUAAAUAUAACGCAGAAAGACAACUUCUCCGCUGAAAAUGAAAUGCAUUCUCGCAUAUUCCCAAGGUUAUAUCCUGGAGUCACAAAGCUUUUAUUCUGAGACGCCAUGUGAUAAUUUUUCACCUAAUUGAUUGGUAGUACUGUAGAUAGUUUACAGGUGUUUCUAUAGAAAAUAUAUCAAUAAAUCUUUCAGCAGUUUCUAAUAGUGGUUUCUCUAUACCGAUUUCUCUUUGUUUCAGAUUACUUUGACUACGGCCCUGUAGGAUGUCCGUUUCCAGUUGCUGAGAAUAAAAGUGGAUUCGGAACGCCGAUUGCGUGCACCCAGGACUGCAACAAUGGUACUGAGACUGCACCCAACGGCACACGCUGCUUUACAAUUGGAGAAGAUGGAUUCGGGCGGAUGGUGCCCGAUUACCCAUACGCAUGCCCGCUCGGAGAAUGCCAGAAUGGGACUUGCGUUCCAAACGGAAUGAACGAUACCUGCUACAAAAGAGCUUUGAAGGAAUAAAACUUCAUCUAUAUGUUG